Molecule: long non-coding RNA, 594 nt
Filed under: Lynx canadensis (Canada lynx)
Lineage: Eukaryota; Metazoa; Chordata; Mammalia; Carnivora; Felidae
Description: lncRNA (ENSLCNG00005000099.1)
Source: RNAcentral
GCUCAUCUUUACAUUUUCUUUCUUUUUCCUUAGGAAAUCCCUUUAAAGUUUCUUUUUAAUAAACUGCAAAGGAAUAUUACUCCUAAAUUAGCAGGAGACUGUGAGGACUGGCCUUCUCAUAGAUUUACUAUGCUCCAAGUGGAUGAUCUGAGAAUAGGACCCAGAAAGUCAGUGCCAAACCUCUCUUCUCCAGAAAAUUAACUCUGCGCACCUCUAGCCCACUAGCACCUUCCCAGCCAGGAUUUAUCUCUACUAUACUUUGAAGAAUCACGCCGUGCAGGUCUCAUGAGAGUUGUCUUAGAAAGCACUUUAAGAGAUCUACAACAAGCAAAGAGCUGGAUUUCUGGAUUGCCUGGGCCUGGGCCUGGGAUCCUUGGUUUAAAAAGAGUCACUGUCAUAAACAGAGUUAUUUUAUGAACAGAGGAGGGACAAAGAGAGGAGGAGGACAGAGCCUCUGAAGCUGGCUCUGUGCUGACAGCAGCGAGCCUAAUGCAGGGCUUGAACUCAAACCCAUGAGAUCAUCACCUGACCCAAAGUCGUAUGCUCAACGGACUGAGCCACCCAGGUGCCUCAGGUAUGUGCUUUAUAAAUAUC